Non-coding RNA from Pseudonaja textilis, 79 nucleotides. The record is from RefSeq and is a predicted model, not a curated record. NCBI's taxonomy places the organism in Eukaryota, Metazoa, Chordata, Lepidosauria, Squamata, Elapidae.
AAAAUAUUAGAAUGCACCAAAAUGGACAGGUUAACAAUGGAAAUAAAAGACAAGGGAGAAACAGAAUACUUGAAAAUUU